UAAGAAUUACUCUAUAAUUAUAACCAUUGGGUUUUGGAAAGUAAGUCUGAACCACAAACGUUAAUUAUAGGUCCAUUGAAUGAUAUCGUCCCAUAUAAAACCGUACGUAAAUUGUGUCCAUCUCUUGAAUAUAAUAUACAUAUAAAGAAUUGAAAACUAGCCUAAUAACCAGCCCCUUUCGUCAAACUUGUUGGUCUCCAUCUUCAAGUAGUGUCCAAAAGGGAUUGGUUAGAGAGGCUAUUAUAUUAUAUAUUACAUAUAUUGAAUCAAAUAAAUAAAUGGCAUCGAGAAAAAUGAUGGUGGUGAUGAUGAUGAUAAUGGUGAUGAUCGCAGUGGGUUGGAUGGAGGUGGGAGAAGCAGUCCGGUACAGGACAGUGGAACCCUGCUUCACCAACUGUAUAAACAAUUGCAUGGCUGUUGGGAGCUCCUCUCCUUUCCAUUGUAGCAAUCAAUGCCUGCCUUUGUGCUCCAGAAUGGAAUGCUUCUUUUGUCUACUAAAGAAACAAGACUCUUCUUCAAGCUCGCUGCCAUCAAGUACAUCUAAACUUCAGCCACCGACCGCCGCCACACCAAAAACAUCUCCAACCGCCCGCCGUCACGCAUAGCCCGUCUCCAACCACCUGCUGCUUAUCUUCAUCUCUUUAAGUUCUAUUUGUAAAUGUAAAAACUUGAUUUAUUGAAUGAUUGUUGUCCAGAUUUAUUCCUUUGGUAUAUUGAAGAAAAUUAACAUAUGAUUAAAGUGAACUAAAAGAUGCUUCAAAGUCUCACGUUGAAGCCACUUCGCUCAUUUUAACGAUUGAAUAGUGUAUUUAGUUUUGGUUGUAUGUGCUAAAAAGCAAUAUUUAAGUGAAUUUUUACUUUUUCAUAAACUUUUAUUUAGUUACUACAUCUACUUAUAAAUUUUGUGUGAGAUAUUGAAAAUUAUGGUUUGUUUUUCAAUUUGUUUAUAUUUUUAGCAAAUUGAAAAUGAAUUAAUAUUAUAUUUUCAAUUUCCAAGUAUUGAUUUAUUGUAAUAAUUAUGUUAUUUAUACUUUUGUAAGGAAUAUUCGAAUUUUAGCAAUUGAUAUUUAAUUUAAAAAUAACAUAAAA
Molecule: long non-coding RNA, 1089 nt
Organism: Cannabis sativa
Lineage: Eukaryota; Viridiplantae; Streptophyta; Magnoliopsida; Rosales; Cannabaceae
Exons: 3
Source: RefSeq, a predicted model, not a curated record